GUUUGAUCAUGGCUCAGAACGAACGCUGGCGGCAGGCCUAACACAUGCAAGUCGAGCGCGCCCUUCGGGGUGAGCGGCGGACGGGUUAGUAACGCGUGGGAAUAUACCCGACACUAAGGAAUAGCCUCUGGAAACGGAGAGUAAUACCUUAUACGCCCUUCGGGGGAAAGAUUCAUCGGUGACGGAUUAGCCCGCGUUAGAUUAGAUAGUUGGUGGGGUAAUGGCCUACCAAGUCUACGAUCUAUAGCUGGUUUUAGAGGAUGAUCAGCAACACUGGGACUGAGACACGGCCCAGACUCCUACGGGAGGCAGCAGUGGGGAAUCUUGGACAAUGGGCGCAAGCCUGAUCCAGCCAUGCCGCGUGAGUGAUGAAGGCCUUAGGGUCGUAAAGCUCUUUCGCCAGAGAUGAUAAUGACAGUAUCUGGUAAAGAAACCCCGGCUAACUCCGUGCCAGCAGCCGCGGUAAUACGGAGGGGGUUAGCGUUGUUCGGAAUUACUGGGCGUAAAGCGCGCGUAGGCGGAUUAGUAAGUUAGAGGUGAAAUCCCGGGGCUCAACCCCGGAACUGCCUUUAAUACUGCUAGUCUUGA
This 588-nucleotide ribosomal RNA is filed under the name uncultured Alphaproteobacteria bacterium. Its description in RNAcentral is "bacterial SSU rRNA". It matches the Rfam family "Bacterial small subunit ribosomal RNA", at positions 11 to 645 of the family's 1533-position model. The record is from RNAcentral. Lineage: Bacteria; Pseudomonadati; Pseudomonadota; Alphaproteobacteria.